RNAcentral lists this ribosomal RNA (253 nucleotides) under uncultured bacterium. RNAcentral describes it as "partial 16S ribosomal RNA". It matches the Rfam family "Bacterial small subunit ribosomal RNA", at positions 524 to 776 of the family's 1533-position model. The record is from RNAcentral.
GACGAACCGUGCUAACGUUGUUCGGAAUCACUGGGCUUAAAGGGCGCGUAGGCGGUUUGCCAAGUCAGGGGUGAAAUCUUUCGGCCCAACCGGAAAAGGGCCUUUGAUACUGGCAAACUAGAGCGAGGUAGGGGCAGAUGGAACUUCCGGUGGAGCGGUGAAAUGUGUUGAUAUCGGAAGGAACGCCGGUGGCGAAAGCGGCGCGCUGGAUCCCUACUGACGCUGAGGCACGAAAGCCAGGGGAGCAAACGGG